CCCUCCCUCUGGCGGCGUGCUUAACACAUGCAAGUCGAACGAAGAGCGACGGAAGUUUGCUUCUAUCAAUCUUAGUGGCGCACGGGUGAGGAACGCGUAAUCAACCUGCCUUUCAGAGGGGGACACCAGUUGGAUACGACUGCUAAUACCGCAUACGUUCUAACCUCGGCAUCGAGGAUAGUUGCAAGGUGGCCUCUACAUGUAUGACAACACUGUAGGAGGGGAUUGCGUCUGAUUAGCUAGUUGGAGGGGUAGCGGCCCACCAAGGCGAUGAUCAGUAGCCGGUCUGCGAGGAUGAACUGCCACAUUGGGACUGAGACACGGCCCAGACUCCUACGGGAGGCAGCAGUGGGGAAUCUUCCGCAAUGGACGAAAGUCUGACGGAGCAACGCCGCGUGAGUGAUGACGGCCUUCGGGUUGUAAAGCUCGGUUAAUCGGGACGAAAGGCCUUCUUGCGAAUAGGGAGAAGGAUUGACGGUACCGGAAUAGAAAGCCACGGCUAACUACGUG
RNAcentral lists this ribosomal RNA (510 nucleotides) under uncultured bacterium. Its description in RNAcentral is "partial 16S ribosomal RNA". It matches the Rfam family "Bacterial small subunit ribosomal RNA", at positions 36 to 507 of the family's 1533-position model. The record is from RNAcentral.